RNAcentral lists this unclassified non-coding RNA (316 nucleotides) under fungal sp. RNAcentral's name for it is "partial internal transcribed spacer region". The stretch from base 1 to 46 matches the Rfam family "Eukaryotic small subunit ribosomal RNA", at positions 1786 to 1831 of the family's 1831-position model. The record is from RNAcentral. Lineage: Eukaryota; Fungi.
AAGUCGUAACAAGGUUUCCGUAGGUGAACCUGCGGAAGGAUCAUUAAUUAAAUAUGAUACUCUAAUCAUUAAUUAGCCACAUGGUUUUUUAAUAUAUUUUUAUUAUAUAUUCGAAACCUAUUGGCAUUUUUAAUAAUAACACGUUUUUAUUUAGUAUAAUAUGUAAAUAAUAAUUAUUAUACUAAAUUUAAACAUCUAUUCGGGCUUAAAAACCCGAAUUAAAACUAUUGUUAAAAUAUUUUAAUUGAAAUUGCAUUCUUUAUUUUUAUUAUAUUAUAAUUUUAUAACAACUAAUAACAAUGGAUCUCUUGGCACU